Molecule: ribosomal RNA, 300 nt
Filed under: uncultured bacterium
Lineage: Bacteria
Description: bacterial SSU rRNA
Rfam family: Bacterial small subunit ribosomal RNA
Source: RNAcentral
GCAUGGGAAUCUACCUUAUAGUUUGGUUAAAUGCCUUAUACAGAAAGAAUUUUCGCUGUAAGAUGAGCCUUUGUAGGAUUAGGUAGUUGGUAAGGUAAUUGCUUACCAAGCCGAUGAUCCUUAAUUGGCCUGAGAGGGUGUACAAUCACAUUAGAACUGAGAAAGGUCUAAACAUUUACGAAUGGCAGCAGUGGGGAAUAUUGAACAAUGGGCGCAAGCUCGAUUCAGCGAUAUGGAGUGGAUGAUGACAGUCAUUUGAUUGUAAAGUCCUUUUACCAAGAAAGAUUUUUGACUUUACUU